UACGGAGGGAGCUAGCGUUGUUCGGAAUCACUGGGCGUAAAGCGCACGUAGGCGGCUAUUCAAGUCGGGGGUGAAAGCCCGGGGCUCAACCCCGGAACUGCCCUCGAAACUAGAUGGCUAGAAUCUUGGAGAGGCGAGUGGAAUUCCGAGUGUAGAGGUGAAAUUCGUAGAUAUUCGGAAGAACACCAGUGGCGAAGGCGACUGACUGGACAAGUAUUGACGCUGAGGUGCGAAAGCGUGGGGAGCAAACAGG
This 253-nucleotide ribosomal RNA is filed under the name uncultured Novosphingobium sp. RNAcentral describes it as "partial 16S ribosomal RNA". It matches the Rfam family "Bacterial small subunit ribosomal RNA", at positions 524 to 776 of the family's 1533-position model. Lineage: Bacteria; Pseudomonadati; Pseudomonadota; Alphaproteobacteria; Sphingomonadales; Sphingomonadaceae. The record is from RNAcentral.